RNAcentral lists this long non-coding RNA (361 nucleotides) under Mytilus galloprovincialis (Mediterranean mussel). The record is from RNAcentral. Lineage: Eukaryota; Metazoa; Mollusca; Bivalvia; Mytilida; Mytilidae.
GACAAGACUAUCACGAGAUAUCAACAUAUCUGCACACAAUUAAUACCAAUUAUGGAGAUGUGGCAUGAUUGCAUGCUUGCAUGAUUGUCACAGAUGAGACGGAAAUCUAACAGAGUUCAAAUGGCGUGGAUUUAUGCAAUUUUAGGUCAACUUACGGAAAAAUCCUUAGCAUACAGUCAGCUAUAAGAGGCACAAUAUCGCUGACGUCAAACCUUUACCUAAACCCAUGUGGGGCAAUGGUGUAACAUUACAACAAAAGAACAAAAAAUGAAAAACAGUUGAAAAGGGCUUUUAACUCAUCAGGAAACCACCAAAAAAACACAGAUCGGACGUGACAGGGAAUUAAUUUAUAAACACCUCC